GCAGUCGACGGCAGCACGGGAGCAAUCCUGGUGGCGAGUGGCGAACGGGUGAGUAAUAUAUCGGAACGUGCCCAGUCGUGGGGGAUAACGUAGAGAAAUUUACGCUAAUACCGCAUACGAUCUAAGGAUGAAAGCGGGGGACCGUAAGGCCUCGCGCGAUUGGAGCGGCUGAUAUCAGAUUAGGUUGUUGGUGAGGUAAAAGCUCACCAAGCCGACGAUCUGUAGCUGGUUUGAGAGAACGACCAGCCACACUGGGACUGAGACACGGCCCAGACUCCUACGGGAGGCAGCAGUGGGGAAUUUUGGACAAUGGGCGAAAGCCUGAUCCAGCAAUGCCGCGUGCAGGAAGAAGGCCUUCGGGUUGUAAACUGCUUUUGUACGGAACGAAAAGGUCUGCCCUAAUACGGCGGGCCCAUGACGGUACCGUAAGAAUAAGCACCGGCUAACUACGUGCCAGCAGCCGCGGUAAUACGUAGGGUGCGAGCGUUAAUCGGAAUUACUGGGCGUAAAGCGUGCGCAGGCGGUGAUGUAAGACAGUUGUGAAAUCCCCGGGCUCAACCUGGGAAUUGCGAUGGAGACUGCAAGGCUAGAAUCUGGCAGAGGGGGGUAGAAUUCCACGUGUAGCAGUGAAAUGCGUAGAGAUGUGGAGGAACACCGAUGGCGAAGGCAGCCCCCUGGGUCAAGAUUGACGCUCAUGCACGAAAGCGUG
This 709-nucleotide ribosomal RNA is filed under the name uncultured bacterium. RNAcentral's name for it is "bacterial SSU rRNA". It matches the Rfam family "Bacterial small subunit ribosomal RNA", at positions 57 to 763 of the family's 1533-position model. The record is from RNAcentral.